Long non-coding RNA from Nicotiana attenuata, 622 nucleotides. RefSeq lists it as uncharacterized. The record is from RefSeq and is a predicted model, not a curated record. The transcript is spliced from 2 exons. NCBI's taxonomy places the organism in Eukaryota, Viridiplantae, Streptophyta, Magnoliopsida, Solanales, Solanaceae.
UAAUUUUUAGGGUUGGCUGUAGAAAAUUAUUCUCUUAUCCUUAGGAGCAUAUGGUAGAUUUUAUUCCCUAUAUAUAGGACCCUCCUCUCUCUCAAAACACACGUAAUUGAGACCCUUAAAUCCUCCCUGAAAUUCAAUCUAAGAAAAAGCCAAAAAAGAAGAAAUAUUUCUGAGUUGGUUUCAUGUCCCUAUUCUUGGUCUUCAUUUGUUCUGUAUUGUUUGGAGCUGGGUCUAUCUCUAGACCUUCUGGUUUUCUCCUGCUGGCCGGGUCACUGAUUUAAGUCUGAAGAUUAUUUGAUCCUCUGUUGCUGUUGUAUUAUUGCUGGUUCCAACUUAUUUCACUUUCAUUUGGCAUUUUUCUGAGCUGUUUUCUACACAUCAGGAGGCAGGAGGAGUUCAUGUGAUAAAUGCAUGUUUAGUUACUAAAGCAUGGAGAUUUAGCAUAAAGAAAGUGAGAUGUUGUUGUGAGCAGAAUUCAAUCGAGAUUUCAGUUCUAUAAUGUAAAAGUGAUGGAUUAUGUAUUAACAGUUAAGAUAAUGUUUUGAGCGACCAUGUAUUCAAUUUAGAAAUAGCGUGUAAUUAUUCUCACAUUAGCAUGUCAUGUAUUAGUCCUUUUCUUUUC